ACUUCAAAUGCUGACUACUGUAUACAAUAUACAGAGCUACUACCGCAAAAACAAAAUGGCUGCGCGUUUGUUGAUCUAGCGCAUGAGCCUUCUGAGCACGUGCCAGCGUUGCCAUUGUCAACCACAACUAAACAUAUGCGGCAAGUGGGAACACAACACCUGGACCUCAUUUCUGAUUAUCAAAGGAGGAUGCAAAGGGACUCUGGUAUCCCAGCAUGGUGCUGGACAGGACAGAAAGCGGGAAAACACACCUCACUUCACAUUCUACACUCAAGGUCAUGCUGAUAACGGCCUACAGCAAUGUUUGCACACGUGUGUUUGUGUGUGUGUGUGUGUGUCUCCACCCUGCAGAUGAGCAUUUACUCACUGACAGUCGAAAAUGAGAGUCUUGCUAAAUCACGUAUUAGCCUAAUGGUUUUAAUUCGCUUUUUAAAUGAGUGUCAGGCCUGCUGUAGUGUCAAACACAUGGUGACACUGUGAGACUGACAGGCCUAUUAACACUUCACGUGUCGCUUAACAGCGUUUGCUUUUAAUGCAUAAUGUGUGUGUGUGUGUGUGUGUUUGAGGACGUUUGUUGCUUGCAAAGCUUUUGCUGCAAAGUGUGUGUAAGGCAGAGAGAAAGUCGUUCAUGCGCCGCUCUGCCAUUAACCUGUACCUCUUCCUCAUUAGUGCUGUAUCUCUGUUGCCAUGGUGGUCUAUUAGAGAGCGCAGAUUAAAGCGUCAUUUGCAUGUGAAUGUGGUGUGUGUGUGUGUGUUUGUGUGUGUGAUUAGAGGGUGGGCAUUUUUUAAGGGUAGAACUGGGGCAGGAGAAGCUUACAGUCUCAAUGUUGUGUUAACAGAAAACAAAUGACAGUGACGCCGACUUUUGAUAGCACAAACCCUAUAAUUAUGAUAAAUGUACAGUGACUCCAAAGAGGUCUGAAUGUCAGUGCAUUAGAUUAAAAACAAGUGGUAUCAAAUGCUGCAGAAUCUUUCCUCAUAUUUGAGGUUUCUUCAUUUUUCAUCAUUUUUGCUCUGUCUUGUAAUCAGUAUAAUUGUUCUGGUUAUUUUUAGUAGAUGUACUGUAUGAAGUCAGUUCACCUCAAGCAGUGUUAUUUUAGUAUCCUUAAGAUUUUAAUUUUAACUUUUUUUCUGUGUUUUUGUCAUUUUUGUAAGUAUGGUUUAAAAGUGUUUAUUAUUCUUAAUAAAAAAAAGUCUUUUAUGAA
This is a long non-coding RNA of Ctenopharyngodon idella (grass carp), 1205 nucleotides long. RefSeq lists it as uncharacterized. The record is from RefSeq and is a predicted model, not a curated record. The transcript is spliced from 3 exons. NCBI's taxonomy places the organism in Eukaryota, Metazoa, Chordata, Actinopteri, Cypriniformes, Xenocyprididae.